GUACUGCCUUCAACAAUGAGCAAAGUCCAUACCGCAUAGUCGGCUGUAAAAGACACCGAAAUGAUAAUGUAAAUCAAUUCAAACGAGAAAACUAACAGUCUAAUCAAUGUACAAAAAAAAAUAAACGAAAAACAAAUAUGUAACGCAUAAACAAACGACAAGGACUGAAUUACAGGCUCCUCACUUAGGACAUGCAUACAGAAUGUGGAGGGUUUAAACAUGUUAGCGGGAUGUCAACCCUCUCCCUUACCUGGGAAAGUGGUGUACCAUGUUUACAAUAUCAAUUGGUUUUGUGUCAUGAUGAAAUGUUCAAACGAAAGACUUAAAUCGGAGAAGUCUAUUUUUGUUUAAACAGUUAUGGAUCAUGGAGCUAUCAAAACGGGCAUUGACUGGGAUAACGAUAUUGAUAGACAAGAGGCUCUCAAGAGCCUGAAUCGCUCACCUGGUAAACAAUGCCUUCGGCCAUGUUUUUUGACGAAAUAGAAAAUAAAACACAAACUUUAUUUUAUACACCCUACUGAUCAUUCAAAUGAAGUUUGGUUGAAUUUGGUUGAGCAGUUUUAGAGAAGAUUUUUUAAAGUUAGCAAAUAUGAUGAACAAAUUGUGAAAAAUUGUCAUUAAAGGACAAUAACCCCUUGAGGGGUCAAUUGACAAUUUUGGUCAUAUUAACUUAUUUGUAGAUCUUACUUUGCUGAUCAUUUUUGCUGUUUACAGUUUAUCUUUAUCUAUAAUAAUAUUCAAGAUAAUGACCAAAACUGCAAAAUUUCCUUAAAAUUACCAAUUAAGUGGCAGCAACCCAACAAUGGGUUGUUUGAUUCAUCUGAAAAUUUCAGGGCUGAUAGAUCUUGACCUAAUGAACAUUUUUACCCCAUGUCAGAUUUGCUUCAGAGGAGAAGAUUUUUGUAAAAGAUUACUAAGAUUUACGAAAAAUGGUUAAAAAUUGACUAUAAAGGGCAAUAACUCCUAAAGGGGUCAACUGACCAUUUCGGUCAUGUUGACUUAUUUGUAAAUCUAACUUUGCUGAACAUUAUUGCUGUUUACAGUUUAUCUCUAUCUAUAAUAAUAUUCAAGAUAAUAACCAAAACAGCAAAAUUUCCUUAAAAUUACCAAUUCAG
RNAcentral lists this long non-coding RNA (1115 nucleotides) under Mytilus galloprovincialis (Mediterranean mussel). Lineage: Eukaryota; Metazoa; Mollusca; Bivalvia; Mytilida; Mytilidae. The record is from RNAcentral.